Long non-coding RNA from Mytilus californianus (California mussel), 864 nucleotides. RefSeq lists it as uncharacterized. The record is from RefSeq and is a predicted model, not a curated record. The transcript has 4 exons. Lineage: Eukaryota; Metazoa; Mollusca; Bivalvia; Mytilida; Mytilidae.
AUAAAAUGUUAAUGUUUAGAAAGGACUGUACAUGUCAAGGAAGACGGAGCCAUAACAAAGGUCUUGAAGGAUUACGACAAAUAUGCCUACCCUGGAACAACUGAACAUCCAAUAGUGAAAGUCUUGCAUAGCCUGAAUCUCGAAAAAAUGGACUAUGAUAGUAUGAAGUCCAAAAUGUCUAUUGAGGUUUGGUCAGAGCUGAAAUGGAAUGACCCUAGAUUGACCUGGAAUGGAACACCAGCAAGAAUAAGACUCCCAAUGUCUCUCAUAUGGAUACCAGAUAUAGUUCUAUACAAACAUCCAAAUACAAAGCCAUUAUACAACCAAAAUGUUGUUAUAAGUCGGAAUGGAGAUGUUAUUAUGGUUCCUGAUGCUAAGUAUGACACUGAAAACUGCAAGCAGAAGAAUGACGAUGUUAUCGAAUGUAAAUUUAAAUUUGGAUCCUGGACGUACGGUGCACAUGAAAUCGAAUUACAAGCCAUCAGUCCUCGCGUACUGCUGGAAACCUACACGGAAAACGCCCAGUACGAAAUAGUCGGAUCGAGUGUUGUUCGAGAGGCAAGGAAGUACGACUGUUGUCCAGAAACAUACGACGAUAUAGUCUAUACCAUACAGAUUAAACGUCAUUAGAAAAUUAGAUGUGUGAUAUGUACUCAACGAUAUCGUACUAUGAACUUUGAAGCCGCACACGUAUAUAUCAUGCUGCUUUGUAGAUAACGCGACUUUUUUAUAUUGUAAUGGAAGAAAAAUCUUAACUGUUUCGUAUUUUUGUUACAAAAAUAAAGACCAAUAUUUUCAUAUGCCUGAAGACGCAUUUUUAUUAAUGGGCGCAAAACUAAAAAUGUGCAUAUUCAUUUUUUUUUC